GAGAGUGGAACUCCAUGUGUAGCGGUGAAAUGCGUAGAUAUAUGGAAGAACACCAGUGGCGAAAGCGGCUCUCUGGUCUGUAACUGACGCUGAGGUUCGAAAGCGUGGGUAGCAAACAGGAUUAGAUCCCCUGGUAGUCCACGCCGUAAACGAUGAAUGCUAGGUGUUGGAGGGUUUCCGCCCUUCAGUGCCGCAGCUAACGCAAUAAGCAUUCCGCCUGGGGAGUACGAC
Molecule: ribosomal RNA, 231 nt
Filed under: Ligilactobacillus salivarius
Lineage: Bacteria; Bacillati; Bacillota; Bacilli; Lactobacillales; Lactobacillaceae
Description: Lactobacillus salivarius partial 16S ribosomal RNA
Rfam family: Bacterial small subunit ribosomal RNA
Source: RNAcentral